RNAcentral lists this ribosomal RNA (738 nucleotides) under uncultured bacterium. Its description in RNAcentral is "bacterial SSU rRNA". It matches the Rfam family "Bacterial small subunit ribosomal RNA", at positions 49 to 790 of the family's 1533-position model. The record is from RNAcentral.
CUACCAUGCAAGUCGAGCGGGAUAUACCGGUUUAGUUUACUAAGCUGGUAAAUUCAGCGGCGGACGGGUGAGUAACGCGUGAGCAAUCUGCCUUGUACAGGGGGAUAACAGCCGGAAACGGCUGCUAAUACCGCAUAAGGCCACAGUACCGCAUGGUACAGGGGUUAAAGGAGAGAUCCGGUAUAAGAUGAGCUCGCGUUCCAUUAGCUGGUUGGUGAGGUAACGGCCCACCAAGGCAACGAUGGGUAGCCGGCCUGAGAGGGUGAACGGCCACAUUGGGACUGAGACACGGCCCAAACUCCUACGGGAGGCAGCAGUGGGGGAUAUUGCGCAAUGGGGGAAACCCUGACGCAGCAACGCCGCGUGAGUGAAGGAGGCCUUCGGGUCGUAAAACUCUGUGACAAGGGAAGAAGAAAGUGACGGUACCCUGAGAGGAAGCCCCGGCUAACUACGUGCCAGCAGCCGCGGUAACACGUAGGGGGCAAGCGUUGUCCGGAAUUACUGGGCGUAAAGGGUGCGUAGGCGGCCGAGCAAGUCCGAUGUGAAAGACCACGGCUAAACUGUGGGGGUGCAUAGGAAACUGUCCGGCUUGAGUGCAGGAGAGGAAAGUGGAAUUCCUAGUGUAGCGGUGAAAUGCGUAGAGAUUAGGAAGAACACCAGUGGCGAAGGCGACUUUCUGGACUGUAACUGACGCUGAGGCACGAAAGCGUGGGGAGCGAACAGGAUUAGAUACCCUGG